Molecule: ribosomal RNA, 288 nt
Filed under: Triticum aestivum (bread wheat)
Lineage: Eukaryota; Viridiplantae; Streptophyta; Magnoliopsida; Poales; Poaceae
Description: partial small subunit ribosomal RNA
Source: RNAcentral
GGUUGCAAUCGCCUAGUUAUUAAUUCUGAUAAUUUGGAGGUUAUUGAAACGAUGAAUAAUGGCGGACGGUCAGCAGGAGCGGCGGCGGCAAUCUUUGAUGAUUGCUAUUUUUUGGCGUGUGAUUUUCCUACCUCUAGGUUUGAACAUUGUAAUAGGGAAGCCAAUAAGGUUGCGCACGGGCUUGCUAGGUUGGCUAGAUUUUCUUCUACCAUUGAUUGGUUGAGGAGCCUAUGUUUGAGAUUGUACCAUUUCCUCACAAACGAUGUAUCUGUUAAUUCCAUUGAAUAA